This 433-nucleotide ribosomal RNA is filed under the name uncultured bacterium. Its description in RNAcentral is "partial 16S ribosomal RNA". It matches the Rfam family "Bacterial small subunit ribosomal RNA", at positions 29 to 507 of the family's 1533-position model. The record is from RNAcentral.
AACGAACGCUGGCGGCAUGCCUAACACAUGCAAGUCGAACGAGACCUUCGGGUCUAGUGGCGCACGGGUGCGUAACGCGUGGGAACCUGCCCUUAGGUUCGGAAUAACUCCCCGAAAGGGGUGCUAAUACCGGAUAAUGUCUUCGGACCAAAGAUUUAUCGCCUUUGGAUGGGCCCGCGUUGGAUUUGCUAGUUGGUAGGGUAAAAGCCUACCAAGGCGACGAUCCAUAGCUGGUCUGAGAGGAUGAUCAGCCACACUGGGACUGAGACACGGCCCAGACUCCUACGGGAGGCAGCAGUGGGGAAUAUUGGACAAUGGGCGAAAGCCUGAUCCAGCAAUGCCGCGUGAGUGAUGAAGGCCUUAGGGUUGUAAAGCUCUUUUAACCGGGAUGAUAAUGACAGUACCGGGAGAAUAAGCGCCGGCUAACUCCGUG